AUGGCUCUCCCCCUCGUUCGCCUCCUCCUCCCCUCUCUCCCCGCGUGCCAGCCGCCGCUCCGUCACCCCGAGUACUCCGCUCCACCUCGCCACAGCCACGUCUCCUUCGCGGUCUCCGCUGCCGCCCGCUCCUCCGGCCACCGCUUGGCGUUCGCUGUCUGCGCUGCUAGCGCCUCGGUCGCCCCGGCGCCUGCGGAAACGGAGGCGGAUGCGGAGGAUGAGCAGCCCGUGGGGCCGAAGACGCGGCUUAUCGCGAUGAACAUCCCAUGGGAUUUCACGCCCGACGACAUUCGCGUUCUUUUCGAGAAGCAAGGCACCGUCGUCGACGUGGAGCUUUCGAUGCACAGUUCCAAAAAAAACAGAGGGUUGGCAUUUGUAACCAUGGGUUCAGAAGAGGAGGCUCUUUCAGCACUCAAGAAUCUCAAUUUGUCUACUUUGAAUGAUAGAACGAUUAAGGUGGACUUUGCAAAACCUAAAAAGAAGCAACCUGCUGUGCCAUCAGUUCCUGUGGAGAAAAAUGUUGUGUUUGUGGGGAAUUUAACAUGGAGAGUGAGAUCCCGUCAUCUUCGGGAGUUAUUUGCCUCAACUCCAGGUGUCCAAUCAGUUGAAGUUAUCUUUCAUACCACCACACCAAGGCGAUCUGCUGGCUAUGCAUUUGUUUCCUUUUCCUCGAAAGAGGAGGCAGAGGCGGCUAUUUCUACCUUCAAUGGCAAGGAAUUGAUGGGACGAUCCAUUAACGUGAUGUUCAAAGAGGACACUGUCAAAAAGAACAAGUCUUCUGAUUCUGAGGAAGAGAAGUUGGAGGAGGCAGAAUCAUCUGAGGAGAGUGAUAGCUAA
This 837-nucleotide ribosomal RNA is filed under the name Triticum aestivum (bread wheat). RNAcentral's name for it is "partial small subunit ribosomal RNA". Lineage: Eukaryota; Viridiplantae; Streptophyta; Magnoliopsida; Poales; Poaceae. The record is from RNAcentral.